UACGUAGGUGGCCAAGCGUUGUCCGGAAUUAUUGGCGUAAAGCGCGCGCAGGCGUCUUCUUAAGUCUGAUGUGAAAUCCUCGGGGCUCAACGCCGAGCGUCCAUUGGAAACUGGGGAGCUUGAGUGCAGAAGAGGAAGAGUGAAUUUCCACGUGUAGCGGUGAAAUGCGUAGAGAUGUGGAGGAACACCAGUGGCGAAGGCGACUCUCUGGUCUGUAACUGACGUUGAGGCGCGAAAGCGUGGGGAGCAAACAGGAUUAGAUACCUUGGUAGUCCACGCGGUAAACGAUGAGUGUUAGGUGUUAGGGGUUUCGAUGCCCGUAGUGCGGAAGUUAACACAUUAAGCAUUCCGCUUGGGGAGUACGGCCGCAAGGCUGAAACUCAAAGGAAUUGACGGGGACCCGCACAAGCAGUGGAGCAUGUGGUUUAAUUGGAAGCAACGCGAAGAACCUUACCAGGUCUUGACAUCUUUUGACCACCCAAGAGAUUGGGCUUCCCCUUGGGGGGCAAAGUGACAGGUGGUGCAUGGUGGUCGUCAGCUCGUGUCGUGAGAUGUUGGGUUAAGUCCCGCAACGAGCGCAACCCUUGAUUUUAGUUGCCAGCAUUAAGUUGGGCAUUUUAAGGUGACUGCCGGUGACAAACCGGAGGAAGGUGGGGAUGAGGUCAAAUCAUCAUGCCCCUUAUGCCUUGGGUUACACACGUGUUCCAAUGGAUGGUACAAAGGGCAGGGAAACCGGGAGGUGAAGCCAUUCCCAUAAAGCCAUUUUCAGUUGGGAUUGCAGGUUGCAAUUGGCUUGCAGGAAGCCGGAAUUGUUAGUAAUCGCGGAUCAGCAUGCCGCGGUGAAUACGUUCCCGGCUUUUGUACACACCGCCCGUCACACCACGAGAGUUUGUAACACCGGAAGUCGGUGAGGCAACCUUAGGAGCCAGCCGCCG
Molecule: ribosomal RNA, 935 nt
Filed under: Bacillus sp. PZ_3
Lineage: Bacteria; Bacillati; Bacillota; Bacilli; Caryophanales; Bacillaceae
Description: bacterial SSU rRNA
Rfam family: Bacterial small subunit ribosomal RNA
Source: RNAcentral